UCCAGAGUGACCGAAGAGCUAUUGGUGGUGGAAUCACUUCCUUCAGCUCGUUUGCUCAACUUCCGCUUGUCCACAAAAAUUGCCCAUUUGCUUUUUACAUCCUACUGGUGUUUAACCUGGAGUCUUUUGCUAUUUUACGAAGAGUAUUGAAACAUGUCUCUCUGGAGUCAAAUAUUUCAUUUCAGACACCUCCCUUUAUGAUGUCAAUCUAAGGGCUGAGCUAAGGGAAAUAAAUGUGAUUAUUGUUAUGAGGGCAUACAGUGAGAUGGCAGCAGCCUGUAAGCCAGAAACAGAAGCAUCACCAGAAACUGACCAUGCUGGUACCCUAAUCUCAGACUUCCAGAUUUCUGAAGAACUUCAAAGAAACAAAAGUCUAUUGUUUAAGCCACCUAGUCUGUCACAUUUUGUUAUGGCAA
RNAcentral lists this long non-coding RNA (416 nucleotides) under Homo sapiens (human). RNAcentral describes it as "HSALNT0297147". Lineage: Eukaryota; Metazoa; Chordata; Mammalia; Primates; Hominidae. The record is from RNAcentral.